GUCCAUUUACAUUUACCUUUAAGGUUAAUAUUGUUAUGUGUUUUGGUUUGCACUAGGAUGCAAAAGAAAAAUCCCUGCACUUUCUGUCUGUCUUUAUGGCAGCCCAGAUUGAAUUGGGGAAUACAUCU
Cercocebus atys (sooty mangabey) is the source of this 128-nucleotide small nucleolar RNA. NCBI's taxonomy places the organism in Eukaryota, Metazoa, Chordata, Mammalia, Primates, Cercopithecidae. The record is from Ensembl.